Molecule: ribosomal RNA, 546 nt
Filed under: Triticum aestivum (bread wheat)
Lineage: Eukaryota; Viridiplantae; Streptophyta; Magnoliopsida; Poales; Poaceae
Description: partial small subunit ribosomal RNA
Source: RNAcentral
AGGACCGUCCUCAGGGUGGCGGCGAUCUCCGGCUCGCUGCGUAGGGCGUCGGCCAACACCGGCCUCAUCCGCGCCGCCGCGGAGAUCUGCAGGGAGUCCAUCCCGGGCCUGCAGAUCGACCACGUCGACAUCUCGGAGCUGCCGCUGCUCAACACCGACCUCGAGGUCCGAGGCGGCUUCCCGCCGGCCGUCGAGGCGUUCCGCGACAGCGUCCGCACGGCCGAUUGCUUCCUCUUCGCCUCGCCCGAUUACAACUACUCCAUUUCAGGAACUCUGAAGAACUCGCUGGACUGGGGAUCACGGCCGCCCAACUGCUGGGCCGACAGAGCCGCGGCGAUGCUGAGCGCGUCGGGCUACCACAUCCGGCAGGUUGGGGUGUUUCUUGACAUCCACUUCAUCAACAAGCCGGAGGUCUUCACCAAGGCACACCUGCCCCCCGAAAAAUUCGACGCAGACGGCAACCUCAUCGAUUCAGAGACCAAGGAGCAGGUCAGGAGCAUGCUCCUGUCGCUGCAAGCCUUCGCCCUCAGGCUCCAGGGGAACUGA